GCGCUGGUAGUUUAAUUGGCAAAACAAUAGUCUCCAAAACUAUAGUUUCUCGAUCAUAGCGAGACCGGCGUGCCA
RNAcentral lists this transfer RNA (75 nucleotides) under Caudoviricetes sp. RNAcentral describes it as "tRNA-Trp". It matches the Rfam family "tRNA". Rfam says of the family: Transfer RNA (tRNA) molecules are approximately 80 nucleotides in length. Their secondary structure includes four short double-helical elements and three loops (D, anti-codon, and T loops). Lineage: Duplodnaviria; Heunggongvirae; Uroviricota; Caudoviricetes. The record is from RNAcentral.